CCUUCGGGGGGCAGCAGUGGGGAAUAUUGCACAAUGGGCGAAACCCUGAUGCAGCGACGCCGCGUGAAGGAAGAAGUAUUUCGGUAUGUAAACUUCUAUCAGCCGGGAAGAAAAUGACGGUACCUGACUAAGAAGCCCCGGCUAACUACGUGCCAGCAGCCGCGGGAAUACGUAGGGGGCAAGCGCUAUCCGGAUUUACUGGGGGUAAAGGGAGCGUAGGCGGUUUAGCAAGUCAGAUGUGAAAGCACGGGGCUCAACUCCGGGACUGCAUUUGAAACUGUUGAACUAGAUUGCAGGAGAGGUAAGUGGAAUUCCUAGUGUAGCGGUGAAAUGCGUAGAGAUGAGGAGGAACACCAGUGGCGAAGGCGGCUUACUGGACUGUAAAUGACGCUGAGGCGCGAAAGCGUGGGGAGCAAACAGGAUUAGAUACCCUGGUAGUC
RNAcentral lists this ribosomal RNA (440 nucleotides) under uncultured bacterium. RNAcentral describes it as "partial 16S ribosomal RNA". It matches the Rfam family "Bacterial small subunit ribosomal RNA", at positions 338 to 795 of the family's 1533-position model. The record is from RNAcentral.